RNAcentral lists this ribosomal RNA (463 nucleotides) under uncultured bacterium. RNAcentral describes it as "bacterial SSU rRNA". It matches the Rfam family "Bacterial small subunit ribosomal RNA", at positions 94 to 578 of the family's 1533-position model. The record is from RNAcentral.
AGUGGCGGACGGGUGAGUAACACGUAAGUAACCUGCCCAGAAGUGGGGAAUAACUAGCCGAAAGGCUGGCUAAUACCGCAUGUGGUGGCCUUUCCCUGGAGGGGUCAUUAAAGAUUUAUUGCUUCUGGAGGGGCUUGCGGUCGAUUAGCUUGUUGGUGGGGUAAUGGCCUACCAAGGCGACGAUCGAUAGCUGGUCUGAGAGGACGGUCAGCCACACGGGGACUGAGAUACGGCCCCGACUCCUACGGGAGGCAGCAGCUAGGAAUCUUGGGAAUGGGCGAAAGCCUGACCCAGCAACGCCGCGUGGGCGAUGAAGGCCUUCGGGUCGUAAAGCCCUUUUGUAGGGGACGAUAAUGACGGUACCCUGCGAAUAAGCCACGGCUAACUACGUGCCAGCAGCCGCGGUAAUACGUAGGUGGCAAGCGUUGUCCGGAUUUACUGGGCGUAAAGGGCGUGCAGGCGG